RNA transcript from Panicum virgatum (switchgrass), 1464 nucleotides. RefSeq lists it as uncharacterized. NCBI's taxonomy places the organism in Eukaryota, Viridiplantae, Streptophyta, Magnoliopsida, Poales, Poaceae. The transcript has 2 exons. The record is from RefSeq and is a predicted model, not a curated record.
GCCCCUGGGCCGUCUGAGUUCUCGCUCGGGCCCCCUGGCGGGGUGUUCCUUGGGCCGACGCCCCCCUCUCCCUCGGGUUGCCGGGGGGGUUAGUGCUGACUCGGCUCGGGUGUCAGCCGCUAGCCACUGGCUUUCGGCCUCCGGCCCCAGGUUGCCGGCGGAGAUGGGGAAAGCAGCACCGACGCGGCUGCACGGCCAGGCUUGACAUCAUGACGCGUGCUGGCUGCGGCCUUCGGCCACCACCGUGCCCCGUGCCCUUACCCUGCGAAGAGCCAACGCCGGGCCUCGCCUCCACGCACAGCGAAUCUACGCCCCGUGCACCGCUGUUCCCUUCCUCUGCUCCCUCGCCUCCGCAUCCAGGAACACCGGGCCCUCCUAGGGUAUUCCACUGCGACCGGCGGCCCAUGGUAUGGCAUCUAGCAGGGACGCGCGGCUUCUGGGAUCGGGGGUCUGUUGUCCCCAGAUCCGCCGAUGUCGUUGCCCACCGACUGCUCAAAUAACAUUUGACAACAAUGUUGUUCAUGCAGCUGUUUUUGAAUUUUAUUUGCAGCUGAUUCUAACUGAAAAUGUUUGAAUGCUUUGGCGAAUAGGCUAUGUGCAUUCUCUGAUGGCAUCCGUGAGUUACAUUUCGGUAUGGCACUUAAAUAAACUUAUUUACAUCUGAUCUUGUAGUAUAUUUGUAUGUUUUUGUUCAGACUCUCAAUCUUGGAUCUCAUAGCUUGACACAGCCCAAGUCCUUCUGUGUGUGACUUGUUUCAGGAAAGAUAAUUGUCAUUCUUUCUAUAUGCCAAUUAUCAAUUUGUGCAAGAAGCAAAGAUGGCUGACUCUUUCUUUCUGUUUUGGUUACCUACCAGAAGAGUGAGAAAAAGAAAACACCUGGACACACCUAUUUGAAACUUCAUAAUCAAGUUAGAUGAAACUGUUUUCUUUGGCCUCGGAAUUAAGAUACCUUCUUAUCUCUUUAAAAUAAAUCGAUGCAGAAACUAAUUUGAACCAGCCCACAAGUAGAUUAUCCGGCUGGAUUUGGGUUGCAAAAAAACCGCAUCUUUUGUUUCUCUUGAUAUGUAAUAAGAGCAAAAUAGUUCUGUAGUUAUGAGUUCAGCCAUGUAUCAACAAAUAAUUCAUUUGGCGGGGGUUGGAUGUGUUCCUGGUUGGUCCAUGUUAUCUCCCAUUGAUAUGUCUCCUGCAAAGGGUAUGAGGAUAGGUGAGCGAACAGCCUUUUUGACAAAAUCCCAUGGUGUACAUAAGCAUAUUUUGCUUUGAUCAUUGUUAUAUUUAGUUGCUUAUGAAUUUUAAUCUGAGGGCGGGGUGAAACUUUUGUGCACAGAAUUAGCCUAAGCAUAAGCCCUGUUUUAGAACAAUGUUUCUCAUGUAGGUACAUAAAAGGUGAUUAAGGCAUUUGUGCGCUGCUUCAACUUUUGUAGUAGCCCUGUUUUUGAAAAUGAUGAUGACGUUACUAAUGAA